AGUGAACGCUGGCGGUAGGCCUAACACAUGCAAGUCGAACGGCAGCACAGUAAGAGCUUGCUCUUACGGGUGGCGAGUGGCGGACGGGUGAGGAAUACAUCGGAAUCUACUUUUUCGUGGGGGAUAACGUAGGGAAACUUAUGCUAAUACCGCAUACGACCUACGGGUGAAAGCAGGGGAUCUUCGGACCUUGCGCGAUUGAAUGAGCCGAUGUCGGAUUAGCUAGUUGGCGGGGUAAAGGCCCACCAAGGCGACGAUCCGUAGCUGGUCUGAGAGGAUGAUCAGCCACACUGGAACUGAGACACGGUCCAGACUCCUACGGGAGGCAGCAGUGGGGAAUAUUGGACAAUGGGCGCAAGCCUGCUCCAGCCAUACCGCGUGGGUGAAGAAGGCCUUCGGGUUGUAAAGCCCUUUUGUUGGGAAAGAAAAGCAGCAGGUUAAUACCCCGCUGUUCUGGCGGUACCCAAAGAAUAAGCACCGGCUAACUUCGU
RNAcentral lists this ribosomal RNA (491 nucleotides) under uncultured bacterium. RNAcentral describes it as "partial 16S ribosomal RNA". It matches the Rfam family "Bacterial small subunit ribosomal RNA", at positions 29 to 506 of the family's 1533-position model. The record is from RNAcentral.